Molecule: long non-coding RNA, 1038 nt
Organism: Parus major (Great Tit)
Lineage: Eukaryota; Metazoa; Chordata; Aves; Passeriformes; Paridae
Exons: 2
Source: RefSeq, a predicted model, not a curated record
UUGAAGGGUUUUUGUGGCUCCCAUGCUGGACUGUGUGACAAAGACUCCACACUUGGGUUGUGUGAAGCUUCUGGGUAACCCCAGCAGCUGAGCUGGGUGAGGAUGUGGCUUGUCAGGGACCUCAGCUUCUGCCCAGGGCUGUUCUACACCCCUGGCCAAGUGCUUUUAUUUGUCCCUGGCCACUCCUGUGCACUCACUGCUCCUGGAGCUGCUCCUCCCUUCAUCUCAGGUGAGUAUCUGUAGCUCCUGGCCAUGGAAAUAAAUGGUGUUUUUAUGGAGCUCCCCAAAGACAGGUCUCUCCUGCUCUGCUGGUUCCCAUCCUCCCUCCCAGGGACUCAGGCCUUCAGUCUCCAGCUCUCCAAGAGGUGACAGACUUUGCACAGGAGAUGCAGGAUGAGAACUGGGAAAUUCUGGGCAGGAUUUGGCAGCCUCAAUAGAAAAGAAGUCUCUGCUCAAUGUCAGCUUUGCAACCCUUGAUUCAGAGCAGAUUAAAUGAUGUAAAGAACCCUGGGGGAAAGAGGUUUCCUUUCCUCAGCUCAGCCAUGAAUUUGCUUCCAAACUGCAAGAGGGAAGUUGUUUUGGAUGGGUUUGGAAGUUGUUUAGAGAUAGAACCUUCAAGAACACACCCUGAUGCCAACCCAAAGAGGGCACUCUGGGCAUGGAAAACUCAGCAGAAUUGUGCUAGAGGUGCUUUCCUCAUGCAUCAUCACCCACAGCAAAAACCACUGAUAACUCUGCUCAGAUGCAGCUUUUCUUAGUCAGUGCUGCCACAGAUGUUGGAAUGGCCUCUGACAAGUCACCUUUGGACAGAGGUGAGCAGAAGGAAAGGCAAACACUCCCCAGAAGUGUGUUUUUGUCAACGAAAUCCUAAACAUCUGACGGAAGUGUUUGAGCUCCUCUUGCUGGGUCUCUUGCCAAAUCUCCAGAUUAAUUUCCUCAGGUUGCAAUAUUUUUAAGCUCUAUUGUAGAAGAGGCAGGGGUUUACUUUUUUUUGUCUUAAACCAUGACAUGUAGAAAUAAAAUAUUUACUGGCUGUCA